Molecule: RNA transcript, 937 nt
Organism: Vigna angularis (adzuki bean)
Lineage: Eukaryota; Viridiplantae; Streptophyta; Magnoliopsida; Fabales; Fabaceae
Gene name: tropinone reductase homolog At5g06060
Exons: 5
Source: RefSeq, a predicted model, not a curated record
UGAAAAACAUAAUCAUAGUUUAUUGUUUUGUGAGUGAAAAACAGUGGAAAUGGCGGAGUUGGAAGAAAGCAGCAGUAAGAGAGGAGGAAGAUGGUGUCUGAAGGGAAUGACGGCUCUGGUCAGUGGUGGCACUCGUGGGAUCGGGCACGCCAUUGUGAGUGACUUGGCCGCGUUUGGCGCCGCUGUGCACACUUGUUCCAGGACCCAAACAGAGCUCAACAAGUGCUUAGAAGAAUGGCAGAGUGAAGGCUUUCAGGUCACUGGAUCGGUGUGUGACGUGUCCUCGCCACACGACAGAGAGAAGCUUCUUCAGAAAGUUGCAUCCAUCUUCAACGGAAAGCUUAACAUCUAUGCACCGCUGGAGCAUUCCCGGCGUCAAGAGCUUCCAGUUGAACCGAUCAGUUUUUGGUUCUGAAACUGUUUGUAAGGGGUGAUCGUCGAACUCUAAGAUUUCAGUAGUGAGGAGAUAUAUUUUUGCAUUGUUGAACGUUCGGUCACGCUUAGAGGUGCAUUGUUGAACGUUUGGUCACGCUUAGAGAAGGAGACGAGCUGUUGGAAGAAGCGCUGGAAGAAGAAAAUUUAGUUGAGGUAGAAAUUAAGACCGAACAGUAGAACCGUUCGGUCAGUAUUAUUAGUUUAGUUUUAAGAUGAUCGUUCGAUCAUCUUUUCCCUCUUAUUUUGUAGGACCGUUUGAUAUAGUCUCUUGUAAAUCGUUCGGUCGGGUUUGCUUAUGUUGUUCGGUUUUAGUUUUCUUGUUUCUCUGUAAGGUCGUUCGGUCACAAGCGUUCUUUAUUUUGUAAGACUGAUUUGUAAUAUUAAUCGAUGUGAUUAUUCUAUUAUAUAGUUUUUACACUGUAUUUUGAGAUGUUACAAUAUUUAAAUUUUUUAAUGUAUAAUUAUCGCUAACAUCAUAUAUUCCUUUUGAUUAUUCAUAUGA